UACGUAGGGGGCUAGCGUUGUCCGGAAUCAUUGGGCGUAAAGAGCGUGUAGGCGGCCCGGUAAGUCCGCUGUAAAAGUCAAAGGCUCAACCUUUGAAUGUCAGUGGAUACUGCCGGGCUAGAGUCCGGGAGGGGCGAGUGGAAUUCCUGGUGUAGCGGUGAAAUGCGCAGAUAUCAGGAAGAACACCGACGGCGAAGGCAGCUCGCUGGGACGGUACUGACCGCUGAGGCGCGAAAGCGUGGGGAGCGAACAGG
This 254-nucleotide ribosomal RNA is filed under the name uncultured bacterium. RNAcentral's name for it is "partial 16S ribosomal RNA". It matches the Rfam family "Bacterial small subunit ribosomal RNA", at positions 524 to 776 of the family's 1533-position model. The record is from RNAcentral.